UAAUUCCUACGGGGGGCAGCAGUGAGGAAUAUUGGUCAAUGGCCGGAAGGCUGAACCAGCCAAGCCGCGUGAGGGAGGAAGGCGCAGAGCGUCGCAGACCUCUUUUGCCGGGGGACAAAAGGCCGGACGGGUCCGGUUCUGAGGGUACCCGGAGAAAAAGCAUCGGCUAACUCCGUGCCAGCAGCCGCGGUAAUACGGAGGAUGCGAGCGUUAUCCGGAUUCAUUGGGUUUAAAGGGUGCGUAGGCGGUCGGAUAAGGUAGAGGUGAAAUCCCGAGGC
Molecule: ribosomal RNA, 278 nt
Filed under: uncultured bacterium
Lineage: Bacteria
Description: partial 16S ribosomal RNA
Rfam family: Bacterial small subunit ribosomal RNA
Source: RNAcentral